CUGGUAUCUCAAACCACAGAAGUUAACUAACAUCAGCUAAAAUAGCACAGGACAGCCCCUGUGGCCAACAAAAAGAAUAGCUUAGUUUCUCCAGAACUCAGAAAUGUUCUAUUAUAUACAGUGUUACAGAGAACUAGGAGAUAUAGACAUUCAUGAAUAACUUCAGCUAUCAAGAGGAACGGGUGGUCUGUUUCAUGUUCCUAGACACAAUAUUCCUGCUCAGAUUUGAUGGGCGACAUAAGUAUCAGUAUGCCUGCAAUAGCAAGUCUACAGGAUCCGGCUUGUGGACCAGCAUAUAUGAAAUGGAGAUGCCUGAUGGAAGGACCUCUUCC
This is a long non-coding RNA of Mustela erminea (ermine), 332 nucleotides long. RefSeq lists it as uncharacterized. The record is from RefSeq and is a predicted model, not a curated record. The transcript is spliced from 5 exons. Lineage: Eukaryota; Metazoa; Chordata; Mammalia; Carnivora; Mustelidae.